GAUGAACGCUGGCGGCGUGCCUAAUACAUGCAAGUCGAACGAGUUCUCGUUGAUGAUCGGUGCUUGCACCGAGAUUCAACAUGGAACGAGUGGCGGACGGGUGAGUAACACGUGGGUAACCUGCCCUUAAGUGGGGGAUAACAUUUGGAAACAGAUGCUAAUACCGCAUAGAUCCAAGAACCGCAUGGUUCUUGGCUGAAAGAUGGCGUAAGCUAUCGCUUUUGGAUGGACCCGCGGCGUAUUAGCUAGUUGGUGAGGUAAUGGCUCACCAAGGCGAUGAUACGUAGCCGAACUGAGAGGUUGAUCGGCCACAUUGGGACUGAGACACGGCCCAAACUCCUACGGGAGGCAGCAGUAGGGAAUCUUCCACAAUGGACGCAAGUCUGAUGGAGCAACGCCGCGUGAGUGAAGAAGGCUUUCGGGUCGUAAAACUCUGUUGUUGGAGAAGAAUGGUCGGCAGAGUAACUGUUGUCGGCGUGACGGUAUCCAACCAGAAAGCCACGGCUAACUACGUGCCAGCAGCCGCGGUAAUACGUAGGUGGCAAGCGUUAUCCGGAUUUAUUGGGCGUAAAGCGAGCGCAGGCGGUUUUUUAAGUCUGAUGUGAAAGCCCUCGGCUUAACCGAGGAAGCGCAUCGGAAACUGGGAAACUUGAGUGCAGAAGAGGACAGUGGAACUCCAUGUGUAGCGGUGAAAUGCGUAGAUAUAUGGAAGAACACCAGUGGCGAAUGCGGCUGUCUGGUCUGUAACUGACGCUGAGGCUCGAAAGCAUGGGUAGCGAACAGGAUUAGAUACCCUGGUAGUCCAUGCCGUAAACGAUGAAUGCUAGUGUUGGAGGGUUUCCGCCCUUCAGUGCCGCAGCUAACGCAUUAAGCAUUCCGCCUGGGGAGUACGACCGCAAGGUUGAAACUCAAAGGAAUUGACGGGGCCCGCACAAGCGGUGGAGCAUGUGGUUUAAUUCGAAGCAACGCGAAGAACCUUAUCAGGUCUUGACAUCUUUUGAUCACCUGAGAGAUCAGGCUUCCCCUUCGGGGGCAAAAUGACAGGUGGUGCAUGGUGUCGUCAGCUCGUGUCGUGAGAUGUUGGGUUAAGUCCCGCAACGAGCGCAACCCUUAUGACUAGUUGCCAGCAUUUAGUUGGGCACUCUAGUAAGACUGCCGGUGACAAACCGGAGGAAGGUGGGGAUGACGUCAAAUCAUCAUGCCCCUUAUGACCUGGGCUACACACGUGCUACAAUGGAUGGUACAACGAGUUGCGAGACCGCGAGGUCAAGCUAAUCUCUUAAAGCCAUUCUCAGUUCGGACUGUAGGCUGCAACUCGCCUACACGAAGUCGGAAUCGCUAGUAAUCGCGGGUCAGCACGCCGCGGUGAAUACGUUCCCGGGCCUUGUACACACCGCCCGUCACACCAUGAGAGUUUGUAACACCCGAAGCCGGUGGCGUAACCCUUUUAGGGAGCGAGCCGUCUAAGGUGGGACAAAUGAUUAGGGUG
Molecule: ribosomal RNA, 1489 nt
Filed under: Lacticaseibacillus paracasei
Lineage: Bacteria; Bacillati; Bacillota; Bacilli; Lactobacillales; Lactobacillaceae
Description: bacterial SSU rRNA
Rfam family: Bacterial small subunit ribosomal RNA
Source: RNAcentral